RNAcentral lists this long non-coding RNA (236 nucleotides) under Brassica napus (rape). RNAcentral's name for it is "long non-coding RNA (BNAP_LNC014116)". Lineage: Eukaryota; Viridiplantae; Streptophyta; Magnoliopsida; Brassicales; Brassicaceae. The record is from RNAcentral.
UUAAUGACUCACAUAUGGUAUACAAUCAAGGAGAGUAGAAAAAUAUUUUGCUUCUUUAAUAACAAUUGUGAUAGAAAUUCUAAACCUUAUAUAUGAGAAGAUAAAUUAGCUCAUUUUGAAUGUUAUGACAAAGAUAGUGAUGAUAUACCUCAUGAGUUUGGAUGCAUCUUGUAUGAUCCUGCAUAAUCACAUCAAAUUCAUCAAUCAUCCCAACCAUUCCUAAAAAAAAUAGCAUU